GCUGCAACUCGCCUGCAUGAAGUCGGAAUUGCUAGUAAUCGCAGAUCAGCAUGCUGCGGUGAAUACGUUCCCGGGCCUUGUACACACCGCCCGUCACACCAUGGGAGUCGGUAACACCCGAAGUCGGUAGCCUAACCGUAAGGAGGGCGCCGCCGAAGGUGGGAUUGAUGACUGGGGUGAAGUCGUAACAAGGUACC
This 197-nucleotide ribosomal RNA is filed under the name uncultured bacterium. RNAcentral's name for it is "partial 16S ribosomal RNA". It matches the Rfam family "Bacterial small subunit ribosomal RNA", at positions 1304 to 1500 of the family's 1533-position model. The record is from RNAcentral.